UACGGAGGAUGCAAGCGUUGUCCGGAUUUAUUGGGUGUAAAGGGUGCGUAGGCGGCCUAUUAAGUUAGCGGUUAAAGCGUUCAGCUUAACCGUGUACCCGCCAUUGAUACUGAUAGACUUGAGUGCGACAGAGGGUGUUGGAAUGUGUGGUGUAGCGGUGAAAUGCUUAGAGAUCACGCAGAACACCAAUUGCGAAGGCAGAUGACUAUGUCGUAACUGACGCUGAGGCACGAAAGCGUGGGGAGCAAACAGG
This 253-nucleotide ribosomal RNA is filed under the name uncultured bacterium. RNAcentral describes it as "partial 16S ribosomal RNA". It matches the Rfam family "Bacterial small subunit ribosomal RNA", at positions 524 to 776 of the family's 1533-position model. The record is from RNAcentral.